GCCGCGUGUAUGAAGAAGGCCUUCGGGUUGUAAAGUACUUUCAGCGGGGAGGAAGGCGAUGNGGUUAAUAACCGCGUCGAUUGACGUUACCCGCAGAAGAAGCACCGGCUAACUCCGUGCCAGCAGCCGCGGUAAUACGGAGGGUGCAAGCGUUAAUCGGAAUUACUGGGCGUAAAGCGCACGCAGGCGGUCUGUCAAGUCGGAUGUGAAAUCCCCGGGCUCAACCUGGGAACUGCAUCCGAAACUGGCAGGCUUGAGUCUCGUAGAGGGGGGUAGAAUUCCAGGUGUAGCGGUGAAAUGCGUAGAGAUCUGGAGGAAUACCGGUGGCGAAGGCGGCCCCCUGGACNAAGACUGACGCUCAGGUGCGAAAGCGUGGGGAGCCAAACAGGAUUANAUACCCUGGUAGUCCACGCCGUAAACNAUGUCGACUUGNAGGUUGUGCCCUUUGAGGCGUGGCUUCCGGAGCUAACGCCGUUAAGUCCACCGCCUGGGGAAGUACCGGCCGCAANGUUUAAAACUCAAAUGAAUUGACGGGGGCCCCCCACAA
RNAcentral lists this ribosomal RNA (547 nucleotides) under Kosakonia cowanii. RNAcentral describes it as "bacterial SSU rRNA". It matches the Rfam family "Bacterial small subunit ribosomal RNA", at positions 396 to 928 of the family's 1533-position model. The record is from RNAcentral. Lineage: Bacteria; Pseudomonadati; Pseudomonadota; Gammaproteobacteria; Enterobacterales; Enterobacteriaceae.